Long non-coding RNA from Asterias rubens (European starfish), 1149 nucleotides. RefSeq lists it as uncharacterized. The transcript has 4 exons. NCBI's taxonomy places the organism in Eukaryota, Metazoa, Echinodermata, Asteroidea, Forcipulatida, Asteriidae. The record is from RefSeq and is a predicted model, not a curated record.
AGUAAUUACCAAUAGUGUCCAGUGCCUUUAAUAAGGAUAAAUCAUAAUUUGCAAUAAAAACUCAGAAAAUAGAAUAAGCUGAUGCAAACUGCUUACGAUUCCAACUGAGGAACUAUAAAGUUGAUAAAUGCUAACAAAUAAAUGGCGUGACGUUUCAACCCUAACUGAUUUUUUCAAAGACUAAAAAUUAAAAAGACUCUGCUAGGGUCGAAAAGUCAUGCCACAACAUUGUUUUUGUUCAUAAUAAAACUCAACAACAACGGCACCAUACUUUCGAUCAAAAUGUUGCAAUAAUGGAAAAGGGAAUUCUUAUUGUCAGAUAACCAGCUGGGCCCAGUCUCAUAAACCUGUUAAGCAGAAUAAUUCUUAGCUAAAGCAAGCAAUGACCGAGGUACCAGUUGAAAGCAAUGGUGCUGUAUCAGACUGGUAACCGAUUUUUGCUAAGCAAAGGUUAGUUUUGUGCUUACAAGGUUUAUAAAAUUGGAGCCUACUAACUGAGAAGUCUAAUUAUUUUUUUAAUUUGAAAAAGAUCUUGUUGCUUGAAGUGAUACUUAAUUUUGUGUUAUGUAAAUUUGUUAAUAAAAAAGCUUAUUAUUAAUUGUUAAAGUUGACAUUUUUUGCCAAUAGUCUCAAACGAAAGUAAUAACUAUAAGCCAUGUUACUUUGAUUGAUACAACUUUGUGACGAUCGUGAGGAUUUGGUUAUAUAAAAUAUCCACUGAAAAGGGGUACUCAAUAUUGCUUAAUGUUUAGUUGACCCUUUUCGAAUACAGGGUUUAAACUUUCAGGCUUUGGCUUAUGCUCAUUAAAAACCGACACUUUCAUUAUGGGAAUUCGGUGCCCAUAGGCCGAAGCAGUUACCCGCAAUUUCGAAAACGGCCACAAUUAAAGGCCCCUUGGCCGAACAGCGCCCUCAUGUUCUUUAAACGGCCUCUUCCCAAAGCAGCAUGGUUCGAGCAAAAAUUGGUGAAAAUCAGCUGGGGUGCACCAGUGCACCCACCCCUUAAUCUAUACCUGGCUCAGGACUGACUCAAGCACUCAAUCAGUGCACCCACCUCUAAAUCUAUGCCUGGCUCAGGACUGACUCAAGCACUCAAUCAGAAGAGGUAGCUGGGGCGAUCAGUUCAUUACAUGGUGUUGAAACUUCUGC